This is a long non-coding RNA of Tyto alba (common barn owl), 304 nucleotides long. RefSeq lists it as uncharacterized. The record is from RefSeq and is a predicted model, not a curated record. The transcript has 2 exons. Lineage: Eukaryota; Metazoa; Chordata; Aves; Strigiformes; Tytonidae.
CAAAUUGCUGCACCAUCAUAAGCCCAUUACCCUCCACUGCCAGCGCUUGUGGCCCGCCCUUGGAAAAGCAAGAUACAGUAACUGCGAGGAGCAACCAGCGAGUAUCAAUGAGAUGGAACUGAGCGAAUUUGGCAGCAGAAGCGGCAAUUGACAACUCACCAUUUUCUUGUUUGCAAGAAAUGUUUCGUUUUCCCCCAACAGUAGCAAUUUCCCGGGGACUUUAGGCGACUGCGAUUUUUUUUUUUUUUUUUUUUCAUCCUAAAGAUCAGCUUAAAAAAAAAAUAUCAACUUUUAACAAUAAUAA